GAAGAUUUCAUGAUUUAAAGUAGAGUUUGAUAAAUUUCUGAUUUAUUAGUGAAUUUUCUGAUUUUAUAUGAUAAUGGUUGGUUGGCCAUAGCAUGAUAGCUUGAUAUGGUGUCAAAUGGAGCCUUUGUGUGUUAAUUGUGGUUGUUUGCGAAAAAUUUCAGAUUUGUGCGGAAAAUUUCUGUUUUAGGGUUUCAAAUUUGGGGCUUUCUUAUGAUUGGUUAUUGAGCUCUUAAUUGGUUAAGAUUUAAGGGUGUUGUGGCCCUAAUUAGGUGUGUUUUAUAGCUUAUGAUUUGUAUGUGAAUAUGUGGUUGAAUUGAGAUGGUAUUGGUGUUGCUUAUAG
Molecule: long non-coding RNA, 340 nt
Filed under: Coffea arabica (coffee)
Lineage: Eukaryota; Viridiplantae; Streptophyta; Magnoliopsida; Gentianales; Rubiaceae
Description: long non-coding RNA (CARA_LNC007799)
Source: RNAcentral